This 685-nucleotide ribosomal RNA is filed under the name Exophiala salmonis. RNAcentral describes it as "eukaryotic LSU rRNA". The stretch from base 231 to 385 matches the Rfam family "5.8S ribosomal RNA". Lineage: Eukaryota; Fungi; Ascomycota; Eurotiomycetes; Chaetothyriales; Herpotrichiellaceae. The record is from RNAcentral.
CGCGUUCGCUUCGUAGGUGACCUGCGGAGGAUCAUUAACGAGUUAGGGUCUCUCUGGCCCGACCUCCCAACCCUUUGUCUACUUGACCAUCGUUGCUUCGGCGAGCCCGUCCUCACGGACCGCCGGAGGGAUCUUUACUGGCCCUCUGGUCCGCGCUCGUCGGUAGCCCAACCUUUAAAAUCUUUAACUAAACGUGCCUUAAUCUAAGUACAAUUAUUAAAUAAAAGCAAAACUUUCAACAACGGAUCUCUUGGUUCUGGCAUCGAUGAAGAACGCAGCGAAAUGCGAUAAGUAAUGCGAAUUGCAGAAUUCCAGUGAGUCAUCGAAUCUUUGAACGCACAUUGCGCCCUUUGGUAUUCCGAAGGGCAUGCCUGUUCGAGCGUCAUUAUCACCCCUCAAGCCCUCGGCUUGGUGUUGGACGGUUUGGUGGAGGCCCCCUCGGGGGCUCCUGCCCCUCCCAAAGACAAUGACGGCGGCCUCGUUGGACCCCCGGUACACUGAGUUCUUCACGGGACACGUAUCGGACACAUGGGUUUACGGGACACGGUCUGCCUCCCCUCAGGGAGAAUCUUUCUAAGGUUGACCUCGGAUCAGGUAGGGAUACCCGCUGAACUUAAGCAUUUGUUCUUUCCCCCCGGCUCCGCUGCGGGAUGAAAAUGGUCUUCUUGGGGCUAUCUGGGUGUGU